UAGUGUAUUCCAAGCACCUGUGGAGCUCUUUCCACAGUUUGAGCUUCUGUUUUCUCCCCCAGCACACAGCUCUAUUGCACUUUGCUUCACCUUCCAUCUGAGCAUCUCCAUCCAGCCACAUGGAUGUCAUUUGUUGUCUUGGCCUAUCCUGAAUUUUGGCCAUCUGAAUGUAGCAGCAAAGCAUGAAUGCCUGAAGGAGAAAACGAGAAAAGAGGGGAGCAGGGUAAUGCAGGUAUUAAUCUCUCAGUUGAUGAAGAGUGGUUUCUGCUCUGCAUGCAUAAGAUUUCCUUGUCUUCCACAAGAUCUUUUCAAAGAGCACACUCAGUCCAGUGUAUUUUGAUGGAACUAUCUGAGGUGAAAUGGUCCAGCGCUGGGAUAAGAAGCACUGGAUGCUGACAUGUAGUGAUGUGCAAGCUCCCCUGUCUGAGAUGAGUAUAUCUCUAACUUUGCUCUAAUUAUCAAUCACUUGAUUCAUGUCAGAGCACUCACAUUUAAAUCAGGUUUUUGUGCUAUUUAGACAGGUACUCUGUAAACACAGGGAGAAAAGGUGGUUUCUGGAACGAACAGGAACGCUGCCUGAAUGGGUGGCUGAGUCCAUGUUCUGUCUGAACAAAUUAAAAGCAAGAGUCUUUCAUGCUAAAUUUGUAUGGCCCUCUGCACAAAUUGCCCAAUUUAUUUGGGUGGCGAGAUGCUUUGGGACACAGGGUUUGAUAAAUGCAUUCCAUAGGACACUGCAAGUUGAAUUUAAGUAUAAAAUGAAAUUCUCUGUGUGUUGGUUUUGAUGUUCUUAAUUUAGUCCCUGGUGGACCGCGGUCUGCAUUACAAAACCUUCACACAUAAUUUGGCACAGUUUGGGUGAUUUGCAGUCUCUUCCCUCGCUCUCUCUGCAGAGGAUGCCUUGAGCAGAGCCUGCGUGGAGGCUGGGUGACCUCUCCUCUCUCAGGAGGGUGGUCUCUUCAGGUCGCUGUUCAGGUCAUUUCUGCGGCAGGGUAAGGAAGCUCUGACUGCUGCUUCUUCGCUUGUGUGGGUAAACAGAGGACUUCAGUAUCCAGCACUACCAGCCCUUAACCUUCAGAAGCUAAGCAGUCACCGAGGGGGAUGGGGAAGAGAUGCUAAGAGAAAGUGCAGGGCAAAGAAUGUAAAGAAUUUUGCUUAUCUGUGACAAGUUUCUAAGCGUGUUUGAUUAUGGUAAUAAGGGUAUGUCGUUAACAAAGGAUUUUGAAGGCAUGUACACCAUUGAUAAUCAGCCCUGGCCAAAGUACAGCGAACAUUUAAAACUUGAUAUGGGUUCUUCUUCGAUGGGAUGUGUUUGAAAUACAGCAGCGCUUUAGUGUGAAUGUGGAAUUUCACUUGAUGCACAAGGGUGGGGCUGCGGCAGCUAAGGAAGGAGCUGUAUCUACCAAAGAUAAUGUCCCCAUCACAGGCAAGAGAUGACUGUAAAACACACACAAUUUCCAGUCCUUAAAACGCUCUGUAAUUGCAAAUCUGCUCAUUGUUUUAACUUAUCUCUGCCAGUGCUGUGCUGAAUUAGUCCCUGAAUGGGAUCAAGGGAAGAGAAGAGAAAAGGAAGGAUGGGAACGAGAAACAGAAUAAAGCAAGAUAGCCAGAGAAAAGGGAAGGGUGGAGGGGGUUAAGCAUAAUUGCCCUAUGGCUUCAUGUGAAAUUAUAAAAGCUCUUGAACAUCCUUGCUGAACCAGCUACAAGAACAUUCUCCACAUCCCUGAUGCAUGGGAGGCUUCUAGUCUGGUGCUGUGGUGGGAAAAAGGAAAGAAAUGGUUCAGGAGGAAUUUACCUCCUCUGUUUGGAUGCUUUCUAGUGUGUGUCUUGCCUGGAAACUGUCCCAGUGAAUGUCCCCCACUACUAGCUUCUGUGCUGGUCCCCCAUGUUAGGUGCUUUGGCUCUCCAUCCAGCUCCCCACUUGUGAGAUGGGAGAUUCACCACCUCUGUGGUCACCUCUUUUCUUUGGCCUGUUUAGCACUGUAGCAGCUGUUCCCACCAACAAGCAAUCCAUGGGAAUUUACUCCUGCCCACCUGAAGCAUUCCUGGUUUUGCCUCCUUAUCUCCUAAUGAGUUUAUAAUCUAGAACAGAACAGUAGCCCAGCUGUUCUCCAGACUCCUUGCCAGAUAGUUUCACUAUCAGGCACAUUCAGGUGACACACAAGCUACUUCUGGCCCCAUGUGGGCUCCUGCGUGGGUGCUUUUUUGAGGAGGAAUGGGCUUGAACAGAAAUUGUGAAGGCAAAUGGAAGAAGAAUGAAAACCACCCAUGAAUGGGACUCUUCAGGUGUGUUCCAGUGUUGCCUUCUAUGAGACAUGAGAGGGCUGGUCUGUGUGCCUGAUGUCACCUUUCAGGAUGCAUGGAAAAGAAGUGAAACUCUCUGGAGCUUUCCUAAGAUUCGGGCUGCCUGUGGAGAGAUGACUGUGAUGGCUGCCAAACUGAUUCAAGGCGGGUUGAUGCAGAGGAGGUGACUGCUGGUGCCCGUGUCUGGUGUAGACUACUCUGCUCCUUGGUGAACAGCCCUAAAGCCAUAGAUUUCAUUUGAUCUUUGCAAAGGCUAACAUUUGUCUGCUGUCAUUUUAGUAAGAUUGAUGACAGGCUGGGGUAGGCGAGGAGGAGGGUGAGUGCAAUGGGAGGAAGGCUGGUCCCCACAGC
This is a long non-coding RNA of Neopsephotus bourkii (Bourke's parrot), 2652 nucleotides long. RefSeq lists it as uncharacterized. The record is from RefSeq and is a predicted model, not a curated record. The transcript is spliced from 5 exons. Lineage: Eukaryota; Metazoa; Chordata; Aves; Psittaciformes; Psittacidae.